RNAcentral lists this ribosomal RNA (484 nucleotides) under uncultured bacterium. Its description in RNAcentral is "partial 16S ribosomal RNA". It matches the Rfam family "Bacterial small subunit ribosomal RNA", at positions 30 to 507 of the family's 1533-position model. The record is from RNAcentral.
AUUGAACGCUGGCGGCAGGCCUAACACAUGCAAGUCGAGCGGAUGAAGGGAGCUUGCUCCUGGAUUCAGCGUCGGACGGGUGAGUAAUGCCUAGGAAUCUGCCUGGUAGUGGGGGAUAACGUCCGGAAACGGGCGCUAAUACCGCAUACGUCCUGAUGGAGAAAGUGGGGGAUCUUCGGACCUCACGCUAUCAGAUGAGCCUAGGUCGGAUUAGCUAGUUGGUGGGGUAAAGGCCUACCAAGGCGACGAUCCGUAACUGGUCUGAGAGGAUGAUCAGUCACACUGGAACUGAGACACGGUCCAGACUCCUACGGGAGGCAGCAGUGGGGAAUAUUGGACAAUGGGCGAAAGCCUGAUCCAGCCAUGCCGCGUGUGUGAAGAAGGUCUUCGGAUUGUAAAGCACUUUAAGUUGGGAGGAAGGGCAGUAAGUUAAUACCUUGCUGUUUUGACGUUACCAACAGAAUAAGCACCGGCUAACUUCGUG